Molecule: ribosomal RNA, 478 nt
Filed under: uncultured bacterium
Lineage: Bacteria
Description: partial 16S ribosomal RNA
Rfam family: Bacterial small subunit ribosomal RNA
Source: RNAcentral
GACGAACGCUGGCGGCGUGCUUAACACAUGCAAGUCGAACGGUAAGGCCCUUCGGGGUACACGAGUGGCGAACGGGUGAGUAACACGUGGGUGAUCUGCCCUGCACUUCGGGAUAAGCCUGGGAAACUGGGUCUAAUACCGGAUAGGACCACUGCCUGCAUGGGUGGUGGUGGAAAGCUUUUGCGGUGUGGGAUGGGCCCGCGGCCUAUCAGCUUGUUGGGGGGGUGAUGGCCUACCAAGGCGACGACGGGUAGCCGGCCUGAGAGGGUGACCGGCCACACGGGGACUGAGAUACGGCCCAGACUCCUACGGGAGGCAGCAGUGGGGAAUAUUGCACAAUGGGCGCAAGCCUGAUGCAGCGACGCCGCGUGAGGGAUGACGGCCUUCGGGUUGUAAACCUCUUUCAGCACCGACGAAGCGCAAGUGACGGUAGGUGCAGAAGAAGGACCGGCCAACUACGUGCCAGCCGCCGCGGUAA